Molecule: ribosomal RNA, 709 nt
Filed under: uncultured Tomentella
Lineage: Eukaryota; Fungi; Basidiomycota; Agaricomycetes; Thelephorales; Thelephoraceae
Description: eukaryotic LSU rRNA
Rfam family: Eukaryotic large subunit ribosomal RNA (bases 75-709)
Source: RNAcentral
GACCCUUCAGCGAUGGAGGUUCUACUGGGGGUUCAUAAACGUCUCUCCUUUGGGGGGACAGCUUUGUGAACAUUUGAUCUCAAAUCAGGUAGGACUACCCGCUGAACUUAAGCAUAUCAAUAAGCGGAGGAAAAGAAACUAACAAGGAUUCCCCUAGUAACUGCGAGUGAAGCGGGAAGAGCUCAAAUUUAAAAUCUGGCGUCCUCUGGUCGUCCGAGUUGUAGUCUGGAGAAGCGUUUUCCGUGUUGGACCGUGUAUAAGUCUCUUGGAACAGGGCGUCGUAGAGGGUGAGAAUCCCGUCUUUGACACGGACUACCAAUGCUUUGUGAUGCGCUCUCAAAGAGUCGAGUUGUUUGGGAAUGCAGCUCAAAAUGGGUGGUAAAUUCCAUCUAAAGCUAAAUAUAGGCGAGAGACCGAUAGCGAACAAGUACCGUGAGGGAAAGAUGAAAAGCACUUUGGAAAGAGAGUUAAACAGUACGUGAAAUUGCUGAAAGGGAAACGCUUGAAGUCAGUCACGUCUGCCAGGACUCAGCCUCGCUUCUGCUUGGUGCACUUUCUGGUUUGAUGGGCCAACAUCAAUUUUGGCCGUUGGAAAAAGGCAUUGGGAAUGUGGCACCUUUGGGUGUGUUAUAGCCCUUUGUUGUAUACGACGGUUGGGAUUGAGGACUGCAGCACGCCUUCAUGGCCGGGGUUCGCCCACGUACGUGCU